AGCAGCCGCGGUAAUUCCAGCUCCAAUAGCGUAUAUUAAAGUUGUUGCAGUUAAAAAGCUCGUAGUUGAAUUUCGGGAUUGACGUGAUGGUCGUGCCUUAAGGGGUAUGAACUGUUGCUGUUGAUUUCUCACCUUCUGGAGAAACUUGAUGUCCUUAAUUGGGUGUCUUGCGGAUCCAGGACCUUUACCUUGAAAAAAUUAGAGUGUUUAAAGCAGGCAUUUUUGCUCGAAUACAUUAGCAUGGAAUAAUAGAAUAGGACGGCAUGGUUCUAUUUUGUUGGUUUCUAGGAUCACCGUAAUGAUUAAUAGGGAUAGUUGGGGGCAUUAGUAUUCAAUUGUCAGAGGUGAAAUUCUUGGAUUUAUUGAAGACUAACUACUGCGAAAGCAUUUGCCAAGGAUGUUUUCAUUAAUCAAGAACGAAAGUUAGGGGAUCGAAGACGAUCAGAUACCGUCGUAGUCUUAACCAUAAACUAUGCCGACUAGGAAUCAGU
Molecule: unclassified non-coding RNA, 491 nt
Filed under: uncultured Glomus
Lineage: Eukaryota; Fungi; Glomeromycota; Glomeromycetes; Glomerales; Glomeraceae
Description: SSU rRNA
Rfam family: Eukaryotic small subunit ribosomal RNA
Source: RNAcentral